This 1047-nucleotide ribosomal RNA is filed under the name Ischnocnema cf. nigriventris CC-2012. RNAcentral's name for it is "partial 16S ribosomal RNA". It matches the Rfam family "Bacterial large subunit ribosomal RNA", at positions 920 to 2610 of the family's 2925-position model. The record is from RNAcentral. Lineage: Eukaryota; Metazoa; Chordata; Amphibia; Anura; Brachycephalidae.
ACUCAAGAAAAGAAUAUUAGUUCACCCUAAAGUAACUUAAUAAAAUUAAAUACCCACUUUAGAGUAAUUCAAGCAAGGUACACCUUGCUUGAAAAAGGAUACAACCUCAAACAACGGGUAACUAUACACACCAAAAACCAAGUAGGCCUAAAAGCAGCCAUCUUAAAAAAGCGUCAAAGCUUAAUUUUUAUAUAAACCUAAUACCUAAUCACACACAGAACCCUUCAACAAUAUUGAGUAUUUCUAUGCCUCAUAGAACUUUUUAUGUUAAAACUAGUAACAAGAAAACAUUCUCUUAUAAUGUAAGUACAAGUCAGCGCGGAUAACCACUGACUUCUAUACAGUCAAACAAACAGCGCCUUUCCAAGAAACCCCUGUUUCAAUAGCUGUUAAUCUAACACAAGAACAUUUCAAGAAAGAUUAAACAAAAAAGAAGGAACUCGGCAAACUUUAAUCUCGCCUGUUUACCAAAAACAUCGCCUCUUGACAAAAUGAGAGGCCUAGCCUGCCCAGUGACCCCCCCCCGUUAAACGGCCGCGGUAUCCUGACCGUGCGAAGGUAGCGUAAUCACUUGUUUUUUAAAUAAAGACUAGUAUGAAAGGCAUCACGAGGAUUAAACUGUCUCCUUUUUUUAAUCAGUGAAACUAAUCUUCCCGUGAAAAAGCGGGAAUCUUCAUAUAAGACGAGAAGACCCUGUGGAGCUUUAAGGCAAAAUAAUUACCGCACCCUCUUCCCAUCAUAGCACGUAUGAGGGCACCUUAAUUACCCCCCCUUAGGUUGGGGCGACCGCGGAGUAAAAUCUACCCUCCGAGCAAAGGGGACUUCCCCCCAGCAAUUAGAGCUACAGCUCAUGCAUCAAUAAAUUGACACUGACCCAAUUACUUGAGUAACGAAACAAGUUACCCCAGGGAUAACAGCGCAAUCUACCUCAAGAGCCCAUAUCGACAGGCGGGUUUACGACCUCGAUGUUGGAUCAGGGUAUCCCAGUGGUGCAGCCGCUACUAAAGGUUCGUUUGUUCAACGAUUAAAACCCUACGUGAUCUGAGU